Molecule: ribosomal RNA, 467 nt
Filed under: uncultured bacterium
Lineage: Bacteria
Description: bacterial SSU rRNA
Rfam family: Bacterial small subunit ribosomal RNA
Source: RNAcentral
UAGGGAAUAUUGGACAAUGGGUGAGAGCCUGAUCCAGCCAUGCCGCGUGCAGGAAGAAGGCGUUAUGCGUUGUAAACUGCUUUUUGCCAGGGGAUAAAAAGACCGUGCGCGGUUAAUUGAAGGUACCUGGUGAAUAGGCCACGGCUAACUACGUGCCAGCAGCCGCGGUAAUACGUAGGUGGCAAGCGUUGUCCGGAUUUAUUGGGUUUAAAGGGUGCGUAGGUGGCCCUGUAAGUCAGUGGUGAAAUAUCUCAGCUUAACUGAGAGGGUGCCAUUGAUACUGCAGGGCUUGAGUACAGAUGAGGUAGGCGGAAUUGACGGUGUAGCGGUGAAAUGCAUAGAUAUCGUCAAGAACACCGAUAGCGAAGGCAGCUUACCAAGCUGUAACUGACACUGAGGCACGAAAGUGUGGGGAUCAAACAGGAUUAGAUACCCUCGUAGUCCCUGAGCGGGCUGGCAAGGCGCAU